UAUUUCUCCGUACGGGGAAGGAUGAGAAGCUUCGACUAAGGUUCGAUUCGAGCGCAGCGAGAAAGCGUUGCCGCAGGCAACGACCCGAAGGGUGAGGAGCGGAGCGACGAAUAAUCCUUCCCUCACCACCA
RNAcentral lists this small RNA (131 nucleotides) under Salmonella enterica. RNAcentral describes it as "RtT sRNA". It matches the Rfam family "RtT RNA". Rfam says of the family: This family represents a bacterial cis-regulatory element known as RtT RNA. The exact function of RtT is unknown although it is thought that it may be involved in changing the cellular response in relation to amino acid starvation. The record is from RNAcentral. RNAcentral also lists the same sequence under 1 other name. Lineage: Bacteria; Pseudomonadati; Pseudomonadota; Gammaproteobacteria; Enterobacterales; Enterobacteriaceae.